Molecule: ribosomal RNA, 194 nt
Filed under: uncultured bacterium
Lineage: Bacteria
Description: partial 16S ribosomal RNA
Rfam family: Bacterial small subunit ribosomal RNA
Source: RNAcentral
AGGUCUGCAACUCGACUCCAUGAAGCUGGAUUCGCUAGUAAUCGCGCAUCAGCCAUGGCGCGGUGAAUACGUUCCCGGGCCUUGUACACACCGCCCGUCAAGCCAUGGGAGUCGGGAGUGCCUGAAGUUCGUGACCGUCACAGGAGCGACCUAAGGCAAGACCGAUGACUGGGGCUAAGUCGUAACAAGGUACC